This 250-nucleotide unclassified non-coding RNA is filed under the name plant metagenome. RNAcentral's name for it is "partial contains small subunit ribosomal RNA, internal transcribed spacer 1, and 5.8S ribosomal RNA". The record is from RNAcentral.
GUAGGUGAACCUGCGGAAGGAUCAUUAUUGAAUAAACUUGAACAGGCUGUUUUGCUGGCCCCCCUUGUGGGGUAAGUGCACGCUUGUCAUCUUUGUUUCUCCCAACUGUGCACAUAUUGUAGACCCUGGAUUGAGGAUUGCCAUGUGGGCUUUCCUUGCAUUUUUCUCCAGGUCUAUGUUGUUUUCACAAUCUCUGAAUGUCAUUAGAAUGUUUGUUGGAAAUAUAUAUAUACAACUUUCAGCAAUGGAU